AACAUAUAUGAUAUUGUCACUAAUUUACAAAAAUAAUUAUACCUGUAACAGAUUCAGAACAUUAGCAGAAUAUUGGUUCUUGGAGAAUCAUUAAAUCCAAAAUAUAUGACAGUUGAGAAAGGAAAAAAUAUAUUACCAACU
RNAcentral lists this small RNA (141 nucleotides) under Arabidopsis thaliana (thale cress). RNAcentral describes it as "ATSL098940". The record is from RNAcentral. Lineage: Eukaryota; Viridiplantae; Streptophyta; Magnoliopsida; Brassicales; Brassicaceae.